RNAcentral lists this ribosomal RNA (253 nucleotides) under uncultured bacterium. Its description in RNAcentral is "partial 16S ribosomal RNA". It matches the Rfam family "Bacterial small subunit ribosomal RNA", at positions 793 to 1055 of the family's 1533-position model. The record is from RNAcentral.
GUCCACGCCGUAACGGUGGCGCUAGUUGUGCGAACCUUCCACGGUUGUGCGACGCAGCUAACGCAUUAAGCGCCCGCCUGGGAGUACGAUCGCAAGAUUAAACUCAAAGGAAUUGACGGGCCCGCACAAGCAGCGGAGCAUGCGGCUUAAUUCGACGCAACGCGAAGAACCUUACCAAGGCUUGACAUAUACAGGAAUACGGCAGAGAUGUCGUAGCCGCAAGGUCUGUAUACAGGUGGUGCAUGGUUGUCGU